RNAcentral lists this unclassified non-coding RNA (18 nucleotides) under Chlamydomonas reinhardtii. Its description in RNAcentral is "small RNA Cre_3571". Lineage: Eukaryota; Viridiplantae; Chlorophyta; Chlorophyceae; Chlamydomonadales; Chlamydomonadaceae. The record is from RNAcentral.
UGUGCCAGGGCGGACUGC